CUCAAUUAUCAAUCAACUCAAUGUUGAAGAAUAAAAUUAAAAAAUUAAAAAAUAUAAUAAAAAACAAUCUCUAUCAACUCUAGUUAACCUUCCAAAUAACUCAAUGUCGAAUGAUGAAAAUAAAAAAAAAAUCAAUGAAAAAAAUGAUUCGCGUCAACUCAGGUUAACCCGCCAAACUUAUGAUUCGAUUCAUGAGACAGAGAUAAAUUCAUAA
This 214-nucleotide long non-coding RNA is filed under the name Populus trichocarpa (black cottonwood). RNAcentral describes it as "long non-coding RNA (PTRI_LNC000142)". Lineage: Eukaryota; Viridiplantae; Streptophyta; Magnoliopsida; Malpighiales; Salicaceae. The record is from RNAcentral.